RNAcentral lists this ribosomal RNA (1000 nucleotides) under Erwinia sp. R57BN4. Its description in RNAcentral is "bacterial SSU rRNA". It matches the Rfam family "Bacterial small subunit ribosomal RNA", at positions 539 to 1532 of the family's 1533-position model. Lineage: Bacteria; Pseudomonadati; Pseudomonadota; Gammaproteobacteria; Enterobacterales; Erwiniaceae. The record is from RNAcentral.
CGUUAAUCGGAAUUACUGGGCGUAAAGCGCACGCAGGCGGUCUGUCAAGUCAGAUGUGAAAUCCCCCGGGCUUAACCUGGGAACUGCAUUUGAAACUGGCAGGCUAGAGUCUUGUAGAGGGGGGUAGAAUUCCAGGUGUAGCGGUGAAAUGCGUAGAGAUCUGGAGGAAUACCGGUGGCGAAGGCGGCCCCCUGGACAAAGACUGACGCUCAGGUGCGAAAGCGUGGGGAGCAAACAGGAUUAGAUACCCUGGUAGUCCACGCCGUAAACGACGUCGACUUGGAGGUUGUUCCCUUGAGGAGUGGCUUCCGGAGCUAACGCGUUAAGUCGACCGCCUGGGGAGUACGGCCGCAAGGUUAAAACUCAAAUGAAUUGACGGGGGCCCGCACAAGCGGUGGAGCAUGUGGUUUAAUUCGAUGCAACGCGAAGAACCUUACCUGGCCUUGACAUCCACAGAACUUUCCAGAGAUGGAUUGGUGGCCUUCGGGAACUGUGAGACAGGUGCUGACAUGGCUGUCGUCAGGCUCGUGUUGUGAAAUGUUGGGUUAAGUCCCGCAACGAGCGCAACCCUUAUCCUUUGUUGCCAGCGAUUCGGUCGGGAACUCAAAGGAGACUGCCGGUGAUAAACCGGAGAAGGGUGGGGAUGACGUCCAAGUCAUCAUGGCCCUUACGGCCCAGGGCUACACACGUGCUACAAUGGCGCAUACACAAGAGAAGCGACCUCGCGAGAGCAAGCGGACCUCAUAAAGUGCGUCGUAGUCCGGAUCGGAGUCUGCAACUCGACUCCGUGAAGUCGGAAUCGCUAGUAAUCGUAGAUCAGAAUGCUACGGUGAAUACGUUCCCGGGCCUUGUACACACCGCCCGUCACACCAUGGGAGUGGGUUGCAAAAGAAGUAGGUAGCUUAACCUUCGGGAGGGCGCUUACCACUUUGUGAUUCAUGACUGGGGUGAAGUCGUAACAAGGUAACCGUAGGGGAACCUGCGGCUGGAUCACCUCCUU